GGAGAGGUACCGAAGUGGUUAUAACGGCACUGACUCGAAAUCAGAUGGUCGGCGAAAGUCGGCACGUGGGUUCGAAUCCCACCCUCUCCA
This 90-nucleotide transfer RNA is filed under the name Chromatiales bacterium. Its description in RNAcentral is "tRNA-Ser". It matches the Rfam family "tRNA". Rfam says of the family: Transfer RNA (tRNA) molecules are approximately 80 nucleotides in length. Lineage: Bacteria; Pseudomonadati; Pseudomonadota; Gammaproteobacteria; Chromatiales. The record is from RNAcentral.